UGGGGAAUAUUGCACAAUGGGCGAAAGCCUGAUGCAGCGACGCCGCGUGCGGGAUGAAGGCCUUCGGGUUGUAAACCGCUUUUGAUUGGGAGCAAGCGAGAGUGAGUGUACCUUUCGAAUAAGCACCGGCUAACUACGUGCCAGCAGCCGCGGUAAUACGUAGGGUGCAAGCGUUAUCCGGAAUUAUUGGGCGUAAAGAGCUCGUAGGCGGUUUGUCGCGUCUGGUGUGAAAGUCCAUCGCUUAACGGUGGAUCUGCGCCGGGUACGGGCAGGCUAGAGUGCGACAGGGGAGACUGGAAUUCCCGGUGUAACGGUGGAAUGUGUAGAUAUCGGGAAGAACACCAAUGGCGAAGGCAGGUCUCUGGGUCGUCACUGACGCUGAGGAGCGAAAGCGUGGGGAGCGAACAGGAUUAGAUACCCUGGUAGUCCACGCCGUAAACGGUGGAUGCUGGAUGUGGGGCCCAUUCCACGGGUUCCGUGUCGGAGCUAACGCGUUAAGCAUCCCGCCUGGGGAGUACGGCCGCAAGGCUAAA
Molecule: ribosomal RNA, 533 nt
Filed under: uncultured bacterium
Lineage: Bacteria
Description: partial 16S ribosomal RNA
Rfam family: Bacterial small subunit ribosomal RNA
Source: RNAcentral